UGGCUCAAGACGAACGCUGGCGGCGUGCCUAAUACAUGCAAGUCGAGCGAGCUUGCCUAGAUGAUUUUAGUGCUUGCACUAAAUGAAACUAGAUACAAGCGAGCGGCGGACGGGUGAGUAACACGUGGGUAACCUGCCCAAGAGACUGGGAUAACACCUGGAAACAGAUGCUAAUACCGGAUAACAACACUAGACGCAUGUCUAGAGUUUGAAAGAUGGUUCUGCUAUCACUCUUGGAUGGACCUGCGGUGCAUUAGCUAGUUGGUAAGGUAACGGCUUACCAAGGCAAUGAUGCAUAGCCGAGUUGAGAGACUGAUCGGCCACAUUGGGACUGAGACACGGCCCAAACUCCUACGGGAGGCAGCAGUAGGGAAUCUUCCACAAUGGACGAAAGUCUGAUGGAGCAACGCCGCGUGAGUGAAGAAGGGUUUCGGCUCGUAAAGCUCUGUUGGUAGUGAAGAAAGAUAGAGGUAGUAACUGGCCUUUAUUUGACGGUAAUUACUUAGAAAAUCACGGCUAACUACGUGCCAGCAGCCGCGGUAAUACGUAGGUGGCAAGCGUUGUCCGGAUUUAUUGGGCGUAAAGCGAGUGCAGGCGGUUCAAUAAGUCUGAUGUGAAAGCCUUCGGCUCAACCGGAGAAUUGCAUCAGAAACUGUUGAACUUGAGUGCAGAAGAGGAGAGUGGAACUCCAUGUGUAGCGGUGGAAUGCGUAGAUAUAUGGAAGAACACCAGUGGCGAAGGCGGCUCUCUGGUCUGCAACUGACGCUGAGGCUCGAAAGCAUGGGUAGCGAACAGGAUUAGAUACCCUGGUAGUCCAUGCCGUAAACGAUGAGUGCUAAGUGUUGGGAGGUUUCCGCCUCUCAGUGCUGCAGCUAACGCAUUAAGCACUCCGCCUGGGGAGUACGACCGCAAGGUUGAAACUCAAAGGAAUUGACGGGGGCCCGCACAAGCGGUGGAGCAUGUGGUUUAAUUCGAAGCGACGCGAAGAACCUUACCCGGCCUUGACAUCCCCACGGAUGCAGGGCAAUGCCUGCAGCCCCUCGGGGCGUGGGAGACAGGUGGUGCAUGGUUGUCGUCAGCUCGUGUCGUGAGAUGUUGGGUCAAGUCCCGCAACGAGCGCAACCCCUGCCCCUAGUAGCCAGCACGUAGAGGUGGGCACUCUAGGGGGACUGCCGGGGACAACCCGGAGGAAGGCGGGGACGACGUCAAAUCAUCAUGCCCCUUAUGGCCGGGGCUACACACGUGCUACAAUGGCGCGCACAGAGGGAGGCGAGCGGGCGACCGUGAGCGAAGCCCGGAAAGCGCGCCCCAGUUCGGAUUGCAGCCUGCAACUCGGCUGCAUGAAGCCGGAAUCGCUAGUAAUCGCGGAUCAGAACGCCGCGGUGAAUACGUUCCCGGGUCUUGUACUCACCGCCCGUCA
This 1420-nucleotide ribosomal RNA is filed under the name uncultured bacterium. RNAcentral's name for it is "bacterial SSU rRNA". It matches the Rfam family "Bacterial small subunit ribosomal RNA". The record is from RNAcentral.